RNAcentral lists this transfer RNA (74 nucleotides) under Actinomycetes bacterium. Its description in RNAcentral is "tRNA-Glu". It matches the Rfam family "tRNA". From Rfam's summary of the family: Transfer RNA (tRNA) molecules are approximately 80 nucleotides in length. Their secondary structure includes four short double-helical elements and three loops (D, anti-codon, and T loops). RNAcentral also lists the same sequence under 1 other name. Lineage: Bacteria; Bacillati; Actinomycetota; Actinomycetes. The record is from RNAcentral.
GGCCCCAUCGUCUAGUGGACUAGGACACCACCCUCUCAAGGUGGCGGCACGGGUUCGAAUCCCGUUGGGGCUGC